This 778-nucleotide ribosomal RNA is filed under the name uncultured Neocallimastigales. RNAcentral describes it as "partial large subunit ribosomal RNA". The stretch from base 7 to 697 matches the Rfam family "Eukaryotic large subunit ribosomal RNA", at positions 24 to 664 of the family's 3401-position model. The record is from RNAcentral. Lineage: Eukaryota; Fungi; Neocallimastigomycota; Neocallimastigomycetes; Neocallimastigales.
CAUCACUACGCUAGAUGCAUAUCAAUAAGCGGAGGAAAAGAAACUAACUAGGAUUCCCUCAGUAACGGCGAGUGAAGCGGGAAGAGCUCAAAUUUGAAAUCUUAAAGGGUUUUACCUUGACGAAUUGUAGUUUAAAGAAGUGUUUUCUGUUGGAGUUUUCGGUAAAAGUUCUUUGGAAUAGGACAUCAUAGAGGGUGAGAAUCCCGUAUUUGACCGUUACAUUUCCAGCUGUGUGAUACACUUUCAAAGAGUCGGAUUGUUUGGGAAUGCAGUCCAAGAUGGGUGGUAAAUUUCAUCUAAAGCUAAAUAUUGGCGAGAGACCGAUAGCGAACAAGUACCGUGAGGGAAAGAUGAAAAGAACUUUGAAAAGAGAGUUAAACAGUACGUGAAAUUGUCAAAAGGGAAGCGUUUGACACCAGUGUUGUUUAGUUGAAAAUCAAUUCAAUAGUUUUUGAUUCUAAGUAGUAUUGACUUCAUCAGCUUGCUGCUUUCUUCUCAGAAAUUAUUGAAUGCACUUUUCGUUUAACAAGUCAACAUCAAUUUCUUUUGUUGUAAAAGAGUCAUUGGAAGGUGGCUUUUUCUUCGGAAAAAGUGUUUAUAGCCUUUGGCUUCUGCAAUUGGAGAGAUUGAGGUCUGCAGCGUAGAUCCUUCGGGGUUAGAUACAUUUGUGCUAAGCUAUAGUUCUUUAUAGACAACUUGUUGACUAUAAUCAAUCCUGUAACUUACUCGCUUAUGCUAUUUUACCUACGCUUAGGAUGUUGACACACGCGCGUGCUCG